CUGGCACCCAGGUGUUUUGGAACAGCUGGAACUUUUUCAGACAUCGCCUGAUUGAUCUUCUGCUCAAUUUCACCCGAAAAUUCUGGGACUGGUCCAAAGGUGUUCAGAACAAGUUUCAUACCUUCACGGUAUCUUUCACAAUAAUUUGAAAUACCUUCUGCAUUGAGAUGCAUGGUUUCCAGAGGUCCAAUAAAUGCGUAUCGCAUUCCCAGUCCAUCAGACAUCACAACGUCUAGAUCAGUAGGAG
This 247-nucleotide long non-coding RNA is filed under the name Gallus gallus (chicken). Lineage: Eukaryota; Metazoa; Chordata; Aves; Galliformes; Phasianidae. The record is from RNAcentral.